Molecule: long non-coding RNA, 2095 nt
Filed under: Apis mellifera (honey bee)
Lineage: Eukaryota; Metazoa; Arthropoda; Insecta; Hymenoptera; Apidae
Description: uncharacterized LOC102654950
Source: RNAcentral
CUUAUUUUAUUUACUCAACUAUUCUCGUUUAAUUACAUAUUAACUUUGAUAUUUUAUUGAAAUUUAUCAUUUAAAAAGCGAAAUUAUUCAUAUCGUUUUGCAAUUUCGAAUCGUUGAAAGAAAAACUGCGAAAAAUAGUGAAAAUCGAGUUGUUUAUGCCUCGCACCGGUAAAUCUGACGCAAGUAAUUUUUAUAAAAAGGAACCUACAUUCAGUUGAAACGUGUUUAGGUACUAAAGUAACUGGACCAUGAAGGAACAAGACAUUUCCCAUAUGUGAUUUUUCCCUCAUUAUUAUUCCAACUAAAAAUUUUUCUCGUCAAAAAAUCGUUAACAGUGGUCAGUUCGAACCACGUAAAGUUUUAGCUUACUUCAAAUUUUCAUCUGGUCCGUACAACGUUUCAUGGAAAGGUUGAGACGUGGUUGAGUGGAUUCAAUUAAAGAUACGCGAUCUUAUACGCGUGGACGCAGAAUAAUAAAUCUGGAAAAGACGAGGAAGCAGGCAACGCCCUCGGGAAAAAGGAUGGAAAAGGAUGGAAGGGUGGAGGGGUGGCCUGAUCGGAGACGACAACCACGCAGGGAUGGAACCGAGCGGAGCGAACCGAGGGAGGAUCGAGGGAGAUCAAAAUCGAAGAAAAAGAAGGGAGACACACUGUUGGCUUCAAAUCAAGGACCAGACGAACCGGUCUACCCAUCCGUGAGAUGCGUCUAAUUUUUUUCCCCGUUCUUCUACCUUUCUCUCUUUUUUUUUUUCUUUUUCCAUUUCUUUUCCUCUCUUUCUCUCUCUGCCUCUGCCUUUCUCUUUCUUUUUACUAUACAGGGUGUUUCUAAGACAGGUGGUAUAAACAGGAAGAGAGUGAUUUUAUAUACGAUAAAGAAUAAUAAAGAACGUAAGAAUAAACAUAAGUUACGUUCAAGAUUUUGAAUAAAUCAAGUAUUGAAUUCUCGAGAGAUUAUUCUGUACAUGUAAAAGUAAAUAAAAAGCGUCGAUCAAAUUUUAUAUUUUCGUUUUUUAAGAAACUCGAAAUUCAACGUACACAUAUAUAUUUAGAUAUAAGAUCAAGAAAUAAUAAGAAUAAUUAUUUAAAAAUCAUCUGAUCGAUUUCGAUAAUCUUGAAAUAUGUUAUGUGUCAAUGGAUCUUCAGUUUUCGAGAUAUUGGAAAAAUAUUUUUUAUUCCGUUUGUCAUAUAUAAAAUGUUAACGUGUUCACGAUGUUUUGAAAGAUAGAAGAUUGAAGUACAUAGAAAUGUCGGUUAAAGCUUAUUUAUUAAAUUACAAGUAAUUGAAGUUUGAGUUACACAAUAACUCUUAUAUCACCCACUCUCCAACAUUCGUAGGUAUACGUUAGCCUGAAGGCUUCCUUUACGUGUCCUUUUCUUUCAUAGCAUCUUACUUUUUCGUCAACGCUUCUUUUCAUCUUACAAACAUGCCCGCAGGUGCCUGGUUGGGGACUGUCCAGAAAUCUUGCCCGUGAGCCCUGAUUUCCUACCGACUACCUUGUCCACUUUCUCUUUCUCUCUCCCUCUCCCUCCCUCUCUCUCUCUCACUCCCUCUCUUUUUCUCUCUCUCUCUCUCUUUUUUUCUCAUCACGCAAUCCUUUCGAUCCGGCUAUGGCAAAGGAGGUGUUAACUGGAAGGAAUAAUUCCGCAUGUAAGUGUCGCUACUAUCGAACAGAGGGAGCCUGUGAAUUGGCGUGGAAAGAAUAACAAGGAUUUUAAUGUAGGAAGUAUUCAAUGUAUCUUCGCUUAGCAAUCAUUUCAAGGACGGAGAAAAAAGUAGACAUUGGAGAAAGUAGAGAGAAUCGAUAUGAUUGCAUCUGAAAGGAAAAAAAUGAACGUUAAUGCUCACAACAACGGCAAACCUGUGAUUAGCACUACUCAUGUGUGGCACAUUCUUCAGCUACCGGUUAAUUAUCUUUCAUUGUAACUCGCUCAAUUUUUUUAAAACCGGUUCGAGUUGCCUCACUUCUCUGCCCACGAUGCAAAUUAUCAACUCGAAUAAUAUACAUUUUCUUAAGUUACUUUAUAUCCUCGUUGGUAUUAUGACUUCGAUAUUAAAAUAUUUUUCUUUUUUUUUUUUUUUUUUUUUUUUCGUUAA